GGAGAGGUGGUUGAGUGGACGAAAACGCAGCUCUCGAAAAGCUGUAGGGCGAUUACGCUCUCGAGGGUUCGAAUCCCUCCCUCUCCG
This is a non-coding RNA of Parcubacteria group bacterium, 87 nucleotides long. The record is from Rfam.